Long non-coding RNA from Salvia miltiorrhiza (redroot sage), 2897 nucleotides. RefSeq lists it as uncharacterized. The transcript has 3 exons. The record is from RefSeq and is a predicted model, not a curated record. NCBI's taxonomy places the organism in Eukaryota, Viridiplantae, Streptophyta, Magnoliopsida, Lamiales, Lamiaceae.
CCGAAGUUCUGGCGAGGAGAGCUGGCCUCGUCCGCCUUAUCUCUCUUUCUUUUGACUCAAUUCGGGCAUUCACAAACUCACACCACCGCCCGACUUCUCAAUCUCCGGCGAACUGCAGUGAGAAGCCGCCGCCACUCUCCCUCAAAAUCUCACCUAACCACCGCCUCAAUUUGAAAAGGUUCCAGCCGCCACCACCGCCUGUAUCUCAAGCGGCGGCGCCACUCUCUCCUCCAAACCCUAGAUCCCUAAUUCCUCUGUCUGAAACCCUAGGGCCCCAGAUCUAGACUCCACCCUCUCCGACCUCCGGCAUUAAUAGCAGCUCCUCGCCGCCGUGCCUGGACUUCCUCGAUCCCGAGUCAGACGGCGGCUAAGCGUCACCGCCGAUACUCUCUUUAAUUUUUGUGAAGCAGGAUUAUUAUGUGAAUAUGGGUUACACGAUUUAGACUAUCCGACAGGAGUUUCCGGAGCUUUUCUACAAAGAGCUAAGCUUUUAUACACGCCAUUUUUUGCUCGUUGAUGCGUUUUUUAGCUUUCAAGUUUAAUUUAAUUAUUCGUUUAGUUUUGGGGAUCAUAGUGAAGAAAUUAACAGGCCUACUUUGAGUAAAUGAAGUACUUGGGACUGGUUCACUGAAUUAAUACGAAUUGUUUGAUAUGGUAUUUGUAAUAACAUGUGAUCGAGUUGUGUUCUGUUUCUUGAUUUUGGGUUCAGUAAUUUCUUAACUUAUUUCUUUUUCUUGCAAAAAUUAGGACCUCCAAAACUAGAGAAUGAAGCUGGACACUCAGGUUAAGGUUUACCGUGAUGUAAGUAUUAGUAGUUCUUUUAGAGAUAAUGUAUGAUCUUGAUGAGUUGCUAACUUGCUAUGUCUUUGUAGUUUGUAGUCUAUCCUUCUAGUUUAGUUAUGGACCUUAUGGUCUUAUAGUCUUGAAGAUUGUAUAUGCUGUUUCUAUUCCUUGUAGGGGUAUGUCAAUUCUUGUAACUUGAAACAGGUACAAUAAAAGGUUUAACGACCAGUCAGCUUGAGGACAUUGGAUGCCAAAUAAUUCUUGGAAACACAUAUCACUUGGCUCUCCGUCCCACAUCUGAGCUCAUUGAUGAGUUGGGAGGGCUCCAUAAAUUUAUGAAUUGGCCUAGGGGGUUGCUUACUGACUCUGGUGGCUUUCAAAUGGGCUUUAUUUCUUGAAGGUUGCGGUUGGUUGAAGGAUUUUCGGCUGGUUUUCAUAUCCAUAUUAGUAUAUUCAAUACUAUCGCUUGAAGUGGUAGAUUUGAGGGAUGGAUUCAAAUUCCAUGAUCCAUCAUCACUACUCAUAAUUUUCAGUUUUAUUGAAGGAUUUGAGGAUGGAUUUGUUUUCCAUAAUAAUCAAAUACAUUAUUAUUUCUUUAGUGGAGGAUUAGAUUGGAUGAAGCUAUAUCUUUCACCCUCAUUUUGAAGUACUCUUUCAAGACUGGAUUCAUAAUUAUAUAAAAUGCAUGCCAUAAUAUGUAGGACCAUCUGAUUUAUUGCUCCAGUAAAUUGUGUCUUCCUUUUCUCUCAUAAAACGUUUAAAACUGAUGCACCUUGGGCAUAUGUAGAGUCCUUCUCUUUGUUUAUUAUGUCAGGUAACUUGUAAGUUUCUGUGCAUCUUGUGGAAGACAUCUCCUUUUCAUUGAUACUGUCUUUUAAAGCUGUGAUUUUUAUCUAAAUGCAUUGCUGAGUGAUUCUUAAACAGUCAUUUGUCUCUGGAAAGAGGGAAAAAAUAUAAACAAAAACAAGCAAGGAAGAAAGAAUAAAUAAAUUAACUUUACCAUAUCACCGACUUUCUAAAUAUAACUAUCUCAAAGCUAUCAGGAGUUCCCCUUAUGUUGUCCAGCAGUCUUGUGUAGUGCUGAUUCUUUGUUGGGAAAUCUGUAAAUAUGAGUGCCAUAGUAUUUUUUGCAUCUUUAGACUGGUCAUACUAUUUUCUCCUCUCGGUGUGUAUUAUCAGUGUAUUAUUUUCAGCUUAACUAUUGCUUUUGAUUCUGGGAGGUGUCUCUGUUUCAAAGUUGUUGCUUUAUAGUUGUAUGAUGAAAAUCUGAGAUAUAAUAUCACAUACUCUUUUCAUGUCUAUUUUCUUUGCAUUCAGGACUUGCAUUAAUACAUCCAUUACAUCUAUAUGGAUUUAUUAUGUGUAUAAGUGCAAGUGCAGCGAGAGCCUUCAAGUGGGGCUCUUCUUUCCAGUGAAGGAUAAGUAACUAAUCAUAAUAUCUGCUAAAUAUUUUCUUGACUAUUGUUUUUGCUUUUCUUGUAUGACUUCUACCUAAAAAAAAGCUUUUGGCAGUAAAGUCUAUACCGGUUGAAGUAAUAUAUAGUCUAGUUGAUUGUCUUAAUAGAAAUAAUAUUUGUAUCCUUACUUUGAUAAUUGUUGCUCUAUGUUUGAGUUCAUCUUCUCUUUCUCAAAGCAUAGCUGACUACCAGCUUUUAAUAAGCUCACUCGUCAUUGCAGGGAAAAGCUUAACUCCAUGAAUUUGAUGCUUUAUAUGGCACCGAUUGCUGUUGUAGUUUGGCUGUGUUUGUAAUGGAACCUGAUAUAUUUAACUUAGUUGUCGCACUUGGAAAGGAACAUAAAUUCAUGUGGAUUCUUCUUUUCGUUAAUUCAACAGUGGAUUAUGAAGCGAACUUGUGCAAUUUCCUGGUGACUAAGCAUACAAGUGCUCUAACACUCCAGGUUUGUGGUGGAUUAAAUGAGUCGUACGUUGAGCUGAAGAGGCUUGUGAAUUCACAAGAAAAGUUGUACCAUAUGGCUAGCUAGUUGCAUACUUAAUAUGUUUAGUAUUUUUGUAAGGCAUAAUAGUAUAGAUAGAACAGUUGUUGAAUUUUGACUAUAUUCAAAUCUUGUAUGAAUUCUUUUUUAUGAUAAUAAUAUAAAAUUAAAUAUUUUGG